GUCUAUAGCCAUACCACCCUGAACACAGCCGAUCUCAUCUGAUCUUGAAAGCUAAGCAGGGUUGGGCCUGGUUAAUACUUGGGUAGGAGAAAAGAGUGUGAAGAACAAAAACUACAGAGC
Fukomys damarensis (Damara mole-rat) is the source of this 120-nucleotide ribosomal RNA. The record is from Ensembl. Lineage: Eukaryota; Metazoa; Chordata; Mammalia; Rodentia; Bathyergidae.